This 270-nucleotide ribosomal RNA is filed under the name uncultured prokaryote. Its description in RNAcentral is "partial 16S ribosomal RNA". It matches the Rfam family "Bacterial small subunit ribosomal RNA", at positions 524 to 794 of the family's 1533-position model. The record is from RNAcentral.
UACGUAGGGGGCUAGCGUUAUCCGGAAUUACUGGGCGUAAAGGGUGCGUAGGCGGUCUUUCAAGCCAGAAGUGAAAGGCUACGGCUCAACCGUAGUAAGCUUUUGGAACUGUAAGACUUGAGUGCAGGAGAGGAGAGUGGAAUUCCUAGUGUAGCGGUGAAAUGCGUAGAUAUUAGGAGGAACACCAGUAGCGAAGGCAGCUCUCUGGGCUGUAACUGACGCUGAGGCACGAAAGCGUGGGGAGCAAACAGGAUUAGAUACCCUGGUAGU